CUUCUCCUUUCCUUUUCUUUCUCAUUCUAAUCAAAUAGGGGAAUAAUUUACUGUAAUUUUCCCUUCACCUUUGAAUGUAACUAAACAAGGCCUUCUUCCCUUCCUUCUCUUCCUUAUUGAUUUUUUGGUUAUGACACAUAAAGAUAUUUUGUUCUCACUGUGUCUUGUGUAACAUUCUAUCAAUAAUUAUGUUUCUGGUGUAUUUGGAACGAUAGGUGAAGUUUGCAUU
Molecule: unclassified non-coding RNA, 229 nt
Filed under: Hevea brasiliensis (rubber tree)
Lineage: Eukaryota; Viridiplantae; Streptophyta; Magnoliopsida; Malpighiales; Euphorbiaceae
Source: RNAcentral